Molecule: ribosomal RNA, 156 nt
Filed under: Pseudocoleophoma calamagrostidis
Lineage: Eukaryota; Fungi; Ascomycota; Dothideomycetes; Pleosporales; Dictyosporiaceae
Description: 5.8S ribosomal RNA
Rfam family: 5.8S ribosomal RNA
About the family: 5.8S ribosomal RNA (5.8S rRNA) is a component of the large subunit of the eukaryotic ribosome.
Source: RNAcentral
AACUUUCAACAAUGGAUCUCUUGGUUCUGGCAUCGAUGAAGAACGCAGCGAAAUGCGAUAAGUAGUGUGAAUUGCAGACUUUAGUGAAUCAUCGAAUCUUUGAACGCACAUUGCGCCCCUUGGUAUUCCAUUGGGCAUGCCUGUUCGAGCGUCAUU